This 346-nucleotide unclassified non-coding RNA is filed under the name soil metagenome. RNAcentral describes it as "partial contains 5.8S ribosomal RNA, internal transcribed spacer 2, and large subunit ribosomal RNA". The stretch from base 1 to 120 matches the Rfam family "5.8S ribosomal RNA", at positions 35 to 154 of the family's 154-position model. The record is from RNAcentral.
GAUGAAGAACGCAGCGAAAUGCGAUACGUAAUGUGAAUUGCAGAAUUCAGUGAAUCAUCGAGUCUUUGAACGCACAUUGCGCCCCCUGGUAUUCCGGGGGGCAUGCCUGUCCGAGCGUCAUUGCUGCCCUCAAGCACGGCUUGUGUGUUGGGCCUCCGUCCUCCUCCCGGGGGACGGGCCCGAAAGGCAGCGGCGGCACCGCGUCCGGUCCUCGAGCGUAUGGGGCUUCGUCACCCGCUCUUGUAGGCCCGGCCGGCGCUUGCCGACACAUCAAUCUUUUUUCCAGGUUGACCUCGGAUCAGGUAGGGAUACCCGCUGAACUUAAGCAUAUCAAUAAGCGGAGGGA